Myotis daubentonii (Daubenton's bat) is the source of this 3867-nucleotide long non-coding RNA. RefSeq lists it as uncharacterized. The record is from RefSeq and is a predicted model, not a curated record. NCBI's taxonomy places the organism in Eukaryota, Metazoa, Chordata, Mammalia, Chiroptera, Vespertilionidae. The transcript has 7 exons.
GGGAGGAAAGGGUCAGAAGUCAGCUCUUUCCCAGGCAGAAGGCCUAAUACUGGGGCUUGCGGUUGGACCUGUAGCAGUUUAUGGUCCUGGGUUCUAUUUCUGGCUUUUCAGAACUUGGGGGAAUUCAGCCUUGGGUUCAGAGCCCAGAGCUUUAAGGGUUUUGUGGCUUUGAGAGGUCAGACUCAACAGCCCAACAAGCAGCCGGGGGUAGGGAAAUCUUGACUUUUCUUCACUCCAGGCACUCACCUCUCAUUCUCUCAUGCAGCAGAGGAAAACUGAAUGGCUACUAUGAGCCAGGUUGUCAACUUGGAUACAUGCAUCCACAUCACAGUUGGAGUAAAGAGGCAGAAAUGAAAACUGAAAUACAAUUGUGCCUGCACCUGUUGUCUUUCAGAGGAUCCUCACAGCGGUCUUCUGAGUAAAUUGAGGUUCAGAGUCGGUACUAUGUCAGGCCCUGGGGAUACCACUCAUUCCCUCUCCUUACGGGAAUUGCUUGCAGCACCCAGCUGCCCCUGCCCACUCUCGGUGCAUACUUGCUGAAGAAAUGCUGGAAUGAGAGAACACAGGCUUGAAGACGUCUUCACAAAAGCUGAGCUCCCACCUUGGACCAAGGCCCUGGGCCAAGACGGAUAAGAGGCCUGGAUUUACUCUCCCACCUGAAACAACCAAAAAGACCCGACUGUAUAUCAAACAGUGGUUCUCAGAGCACCAGCUAUCUGGAAAUGAAGGGCAGCGACCACUGAAAGACAGGAAGCUAGUGAGGAAACUUCCCGAGUAUUUAUGUACCAACACCUGUGAUUAUGCAAAGCUUCGUUUAAAACCACAGUCCAUGUUCACAUCCAGAACAUAAACCGAGGACUUGCUGUUCCAUGCCCUCCCUCCCAACUUUCCAAAAGAAUAUCUUCUCAACAUAAAGAGAGAUGCACUCUUUGUUUCUGUGGAAAACAAGUGCUCCUGGUUAUAUGAUCACAUACCCCUGAAACGGUUACGUUUCUUCAUGUGCUGCAUUUUAGAAGGCCCAUAAAAGAGUUCUUGUCGAGAGAAAACACAGCUGGUGCCCAAUUAGAGAGGUGAUCAAGACUAAUUGACCGCGAGAGCUCAUAAUGAAGCCAGACCCCACGCUGCCGAGAGAGAGAGACUGCGGCUGGGGAUGGAGGUGGCACCACUCGAUCACGCAAAGGCCAUGACUGAGAGGAGUGGAUGGUUUAUUCCGGGAGGCAGAGUUGGUCAUGUGGUGACCCCUGAAUUGAAGGUUUAAAGGCUGGUUCUGCAAGGCUGACACCUGACUCUGGCUCACUCCCUUCUGUGGGGACCCUCAGCUCUCAAACCUCUAUUCAGGCAUCAGCUCCUAUCUUGUCUGUCAUCACUGGCCCUGGGAGAUUUCCAGAGGGGAAGAUGACUAUCAUCUUCAGGAAGACCUCCAGGAUGUGUCUGUACUUCUGUCCUCACAGCCCUCUUCAGACAGUGGAUGUCUUCCUUACCCCUUCCCUCCCAAACAUCACACUGUCACCCCUCCUGGCCCAUGGCUGCUGCUUUUGUGUCUUCUUCCCACUCUGCCCUCUACAACCCCAAGACACUGUGUUGCACCCAAGAUGCUCCGCUUAAAACCUGGCUGCUCUGUGUGCCUCUGUCUCAGACCAUAGGUGGAACCUGUAUUCCUCACUCUCUCUGUGGAGAUGGGUUUUGCUUUUCCAUAGCCCCCAUGCCUCAGGGCCAAAAGGCAGGAUCAAGUUUCUUCUUUUGCCUCCCAGUGCUACUCCCAAUAGCCCCCUGGCCAUUGGAUGUUUGCACCCCAAUCUGCCUGUUUGUGGUCAUCUGUGACUUAAGUGACUCUUCUACAUCUGGUCUUUCUCCAGCUUCCUGUGGCAUACAGGGCAGUGGGCUUCUACAGACACUUUUCUCUGAGGUCUUCCAUUUUAUAUUUGCAUGUUUGACUAUUUAAAAAAGCACACUUUAUUUCCAAAGCUCAUCUCCUGGCAAAAAGUAUAGCCCAGGAAGUUGCAAAAUACUUAACUGGAGGCUGGUUAUAUCCUUCCAUGAACCCCCAUUGUCCCAGAGGAAUGAAAACAUGGCUCCAUCGGUCAGACCUUUGACCUCCCCAGUUCCAGGGACCUUCACCUUGACUGCAUGCCAGCCACCCCACUCAGAGCCACACCUGGCUCUUAUCUCGGCUGGCUUCUGCUCCACCCAUGAAAUCUCAAACCACAGGGUCUCACUCUCCAGCCCUCCCUCUUAUCUCUCCAGAGCUUUCACCAAGCUGGUCUUGGACCUCCUCCUAAGUUCCAGGCUCUGGAUCCCUCCCUCCUUUCUUCCCAGCCUCUCAGACCUCCUGGGAUUCUCACUCUUGCCCUGCCUCUUCUGCCACAUGGAUGGAGGGACAAAUAGCAAGAGCAAGAAAGAAACAUUUGUGUCUGUAAGCCACUUAGACAUUUUUAAAAAAUUUUCUGCAGCAUGACCUGGCUCUUCCUACUGAGGUACCUGCCCCCUUGGUGGGCGAGAAGAUGAAAGGUCAUGUGAGUAGAGCGCAGGCCCAGUGUCAGGCCCAUAAUAAUCUCUCCAGAAAUACUAGCUAUUACUCUCACCACCAAAAUUCACAGGGCCCGUGGCACUGCCUUGUAAUGUAUGUAAUGUAUCUACACAUCCCCAGUUGGAUCACUCUCCUUCUGUACAAUAGCGAUUCCAAACUUUAUCCAUCAUCUUCCCACCAAACCCUCAGCCUUCGUGAAAAAGAUAGAAGUGAUCAGGUGGGAACUUUCUCAGUAAGUUUUCUCCAAACCUGCAAGUUUCAGUUUCCCUCCCGUCUUAGAGGAAGUUGGGUUCUAUCACCUGACCACAAGUAUUGAAGGGCAGAAGUAUCAGUGACUUCUAAGACUGGGAAAAGCUGAGCAUUCAUUCAUUCCUCCAUCCAUUCAUCCAUUAUAAAUACCAAGUAGGAGGGGGUCUGGGGCUUUGAGAAGUGUGAUUUGAAGAUGAGGAAAAAUUGAGACCUAAAGGGAUAGCCAGGCUAGACCUAUUUUUUUGUUUUUCCCAGAUCGGCACUUUCUGUGCUCUCUUGCCUACCUACCCAGGUACAUCCGGUGGCCAAAGGGAGGAAGUGGGAGGACUGGCACUCACAAACCAGGCCUACCUGCCUCUACCCUGAGCAUAUGGAGGAAGAAAAGAGGUCGGUGAGGCAUCUGUAAAAAGCCUGAGGAAGGGACUGCCCUUGUCGAAGCUCCAUCCAUUCUCCCGGGCUACAUGAGUGGCUGACACACAAAGAAAGAACUGCACGCUUCUCCCACCUCCAGGCAGGAUUCCCUGGGACCCCAGACAGACAGGCAGGCAGGCAGGAAGACAGACAGUGCUGUUUCUCCUCCUGAUACAGCAUCCUGGGCAGCUGAGGCUGACUCAGCCUCUGCACCCUCCCAGUGGGUGGGGUAGACAGUACGCCUAGUCCGCUGGGUGGACGUGGUAGGUGGUACCCAGAGUAAAGUCGCAGACAUCUGCAGACACAGAGAACUUUGAUUCCCCCGCAACUUAGGGACAUUUGCAGCGCUCCCUCCUUUACCUGUCGUCACUCAGCCGCACCAGCUGGUUCCAAACUCAAACAGCCAUCGGCCCAGUCCCUGGGCGAAUGGGAUGGGAAGUCCUUGGUGGCGCAGCACAUCGUGGCUGAAAGGGCCUUAGGGACUAGCUGUCACUCCCCUGGAGGAUGACAGGACCGUCCACCCAUUCCAGGGAGACCCAGGUCCUGGCGCGGGGUCCAAAGAGCCUAAAGAGCUGGCAACUCAGAUCCAGAGCAACUUGCUUGUUAAGGACACAGGUCAUGGCCGCCAGGCAUAGGUGAAAGAAAGUGUUUAGCGUGUAAUAUUAAAGUGUUUGCCUUUA